RNAcentral lists this ribosomal RNA (423 nucleotides) under uncultured bacterium. RNAcentral describes it as "bacterial SSU rRNA". It matches the Rfam family "Bacterial small subunit ribosomal RNA", at positions 362 to 776 of the family's 1533-position model. The record is from RNAcentral.
UCUUCCGCAAUGGGCGAAAGCCUGACGGAGCAAUGCCGCGUGUGUGAAGAAGGCCUUCGGGUUGUAAAACUCUGUCCUUAUCGAAGAGAGGUGGGUAUGUGAAUAAUGUACCUAUAGGACGGUAGAUAAGGAGGAAGCCACGGCUAACUACGUCCAAGCAGCCGCGGUAAUACGUAGGGGGCGAGCGUUGUCCGGAAUCACUGGGCGUAAAGAGCGCGUAGGCGGUUUAAUAAGUCAGUGGUGAAAACUGAGGGCUCAACCCUCAGCCUGCCACUGAUACUGUUAGACUUGAGUAUGGAAGAGGAGAAUGGAAUUCCUAGUGUAGCGGUGAAAUGCGUAGAUAUUAGGAGGAACACCAGUGGCGAAGGCGAUUCUCUGGGCCAAGACUGACGCUGAGGCGCGAAAGCGUGGGGAGCAAACAGG